GGAAACAGGUUAAUAUUCCUGUACUUGGUGUUACUGCGAAGGGGGGACGGAGAAGGCUAUGUUAGCCGGGCGACGGUUGUCCCGGUUUAAGCAUGUAGGCGGAGGUUCCAGGUAAAUCCGGUACCUUUUAACGCUGAGGUGUGAUGACGAGGCACUACGGUGCUGAAGUAACAAAUGCCCUGCUUCCAGGAAAAGCCUCUAAGCAUCAGGUAACAUCAAAUCGUACCCCAAACCGACACAGGUGGUCAGGUAGA
This 254-nucleotide ribosomal RNA is filed under the name Klebsiella aerogenes. RNAcentral's name for it is "partial 23S ribosomal RNA". It matches the Rfam family "Bacterial large subunit ribosomal RNA", at positions 1421 to 1675 of the family's 2925-position model. The record is from RNAcentral. RNAcentral also lists the same sequence under 1 other name. Lineage: Bacteria; Pseudomonadati; Pseudomonadota; Gammaproteobacteria; Enterobacterales; Enterobacteriaceae.